This 253-nucleotide ribosomal RNA is filed under the name uncultured bacterium. RNAcentral's name for it is "partial 16S ribosomal RNA". It matches the Rfam family "Bacterial small subunit ribosomal RNA", at positions 524 to 776 of the family's 1533-position model. The record is from RNAcentral.
UACGAAGGGGGCUAGCGUUGCUCGGAAUCACUGGGCGUAAAGCGCACGUAGGCGGAUUGUUAAGUCAGGGGUGAAAUCCUGGAGCUCAACUCCAGAACUGCCUUUGAUACUGGCGAUCUUGAGUCCAGGAGAGGUGAGUGGAACUGCGAGUGUAGAGGUGAAAUUCGUAGAUAUUCGCAAGAACACCAGUGGCGAAGGCGGCUCACUGGCCCGGUACUGACGCUGAGGUGCGAAAGCGUGGGGAGCAAACAGG